GAGUUUGAUCAUGGCUCAGAGUGAACGCUGGCGGCAGGCCUAACACAUGCAAGUCGAACGGCAGCACAGAGGAGCUUGCUCCUUGGGUGGCGAGUGGCGGACGGGUGAGGAAUGCAUCGGAAUCUGCCUAUUUGUGGGGGAUAACGUAGGGAAACUUACGCUAAUACCGCAUACGUCCUACGGGAGAAAGUGGGGGACCUUCGGGCCUCACGCAGAUAGAUGAGCCGAUGCCGGAUUAGCUAGUUGGCGGGGUAAAGGCCCACCAAGGCGACGAUCCGUAGCUGGUCUGAGAGGAUGAUCAGCCACACUGGAACUGAGACACGGUCCAGACUCCUACGGGAGGCAGCAGUGGGGAAUAUUGGACAAUGGGCGCAAGCCUGAUCCAGCCAUGCCGCGUGAGUGAAGAAGGCCUUCGGUUGUAA
This 422-nucleotide ribosomal RNA is filed under the name uncultured Gammaproteobacteria bacterium. RNAcentral describes it as "bacterial SSU rRNA". It matches the Rfam family "Bacterial small subunit ribosomal RNA", at positions 9 to 428 of the family's 1533-position model. Lineage: Bacteria; Pseudomonadati; Pseudomonadota; Gammaproteobacteria. The record is from RNAcentral.